Long non-coding RNA from Vitis vinifera (wine grape), 2639 nucleotides. RefSeq lists it as uncharacterized. NCBI's taxonomy places the organism in Eukaryota, Viridiplantae, Streptophyta, Magnoliopsida, Vitales, Vitaceae. The transcript is spliced from 2 exons. The record is from RefSeq and is a predicted model, not a curated record.
UCUUUUUGGUUAAUGCGAACAGAGUAUUCUUCAACAGAUUUUGCAAUUUCUUCAUUUUUUGUAAAAUGGUAUCAGAGCAUUCUCCUCUGCUACUACUAUUUUCUUUUUCUUUUUUUUCUAAACCUUCCUGAUGGCUCCUAGAGGACAAAACAAUAAUCAGGUUGUUAUGAGCUCCACCUCUUCUCCAAUGGAAGAUCUCUCCGGUCCAUUUUUUUUCUCCAUAAUGGAGACCAUCCAGGGCUUAUUCUGGUUUCCCAUCCUCUUCAUGGCCCUAAUUACAACACAUGGAGUCGAGCGAUGUUGAUGGCUCUCACAGCAAAAAACAAAACGAGCUUCAUUAACAGUAGUAUUCCUCAACCUGCAAUUGAUUAUUUGCUCUAUGGAGCUUGGAAUCGAUGCAAUAACAUGGUUGAUUCAUGGAUCUUGAACUCGGUGGCUUGGGAGAUAGCUGAUAGUCUUCUCUACAUCUCUACUACUACAGAGAUCUGGAACGACCUGAGAGAACGUUUUCAUCAAACCAAUGCUCCAAGGAUUUUCAAAGUUAGAAAGGCUCUUAUGGCUUUGAAUCAGGGUGCGUUUGACGUCAACACUUAUUACACUAGGCACAAGAUUUUGUGGGAUGAACUGAAGGAAUUUCAACCUAUUCUCAUAUGUCAUUGUGGAAUGAUGAAAGCUUGGAUGGAGUAUCAACAAAAGGAAUGUGUUAUUUAGUUUUUAAUGGGUCUCAAUGACUCGUAUGCUUCCACACGGGGUCAGAUUUUGAUGAUGGACCCUUUGCCUCCAACCACCGAAGUUUUUACCCUGGUUGUUCAAGAAGAAAGACAACGUGCAGUCAAUCAAGGACCACUCACAAGAGAGGAGGAUUGAGAUGGGUAACUGUGUUGGCAAUCUCUACAUUUUGAAUCUAAACAACUUGCUCUCAACUUCUUCUUGUUUCUCUAGUGUUUGUAAUAAUAUCACAUUGACUCAAAAGGAAUUAUGACACUUUCGUUUGGGUCAUCCAUCUGAUGUAAAACUUCAAAUUUUGAAGAAUGAAUUAAAAUUUUCACAAAUUUUUGUUGAUUCUUUGCCUUGCAAAACAAAAGUGUUUACCAUUUGUUUCAUCAAAUUCUGUCUGGUCAACCUUUUAAAUCUUGUGUAUUGUGAUAUAUGGGGUCCUUUUAUCCCACAAACUGUAGAAGGGCAUGUUAUUUUUUUACCAUUGUGGAUGAUGGCAUUCGUUUUACUUGGAUCUAUUUGUUGAAACAAAAAUCCGAUGUUUUGAACAUUUUUCCUGAUUUUUACACUCUCAUAAACACACAAUUUGGUGCUAAAAUUAAAUCUGUGAGAACUGAUAAUGCCCUUGAAUUAGCCUUUAUAGAUUUUUUUCGUUCCAAAGGCAUUCAUUUUUUUCAUUCUUGUGUGGACACACCACAACAAAACUCUGUGGUAGAAUGCAAACACCAGCAUUUGUUAAAUGUUGCUAGAGCCUUGCAUUUUCAAUCAAAUGUGCCUUUAGGAUAUUGGAGGGAUUGUGUCUUAACUUUUGCAUAGCCAAUUAAUCGAUUAUCAUCUCUAAUUCUUUCUAACAAAACUCUUUUUGAACUCCUGUGGAAUAAGAAACCAUCAUAUAGUCACUUGAAAGGCUUUGGUUGCUUGUAUUAUGUCUCUACCCUUAAGCAUCAUCGAAUAAAAUUUUCUCCAAGAGCUUUGCUUGCUGUUUUUCUUGAGUAUCCACCUAGGCAUAAGAGAUACAAACUGUUAAACCUUAGUACCAAUACCGUUUUCAUAUAAUGAGAUGUUGUAUUUCAUGAGACUGUUUUUCCCUUCACAUCUAUUCCACAAGCUGCCGAAUCUUCUAAUUAUUUUCUGACCGAGUGUUGCCAUGUCGUAUACUAAAUGUCACUCCUCGUUACAAUUCAGUUGAUCAAGUGUUGAUUCCACCACUACUAUUACUAUUCCAUCUUCACAAAAUCUUGGAUCUUCUCGUCCCUCUCGAGUCAUUAAACCUUCUUCCUAUUUGAAGGGUUUCCAUUGCUACUUAGUGUUCCAUAAUAAUGUUCCCACAACUCAGCCAUUUUCCCAUGUUCUUAGCUAUGAUCGUCUUUCCUCUAACCACAAAGCCUUUGUUUGUGCCAUUUCUUCUCAUUUUGAACCAACCAUUUAUUCACAAGCUACUAAGGUUCCUGAAUGGAAUGAAACUAUAAUGGCAGAGCUGAAAGCUCUUGAAAGUAAUGGGACAUGAACAUUGGAUUAGUAUGUUAGCCAUAUGUCAAUGGAAAGCUUAUUAUCUUAGCUAUAAUAUGCAUUUUGAAUCAUUGGAUUUGGAGCGAAUUGGCCAGCUGGUUCAGAUGGGGAUAUUCAACGCGUUUUGAAGACAAAUUGGCAUCUAAUUUCAAUCUUUCCUUUCUAGGUUACCCAAUUUUUUUACUUUUAUGCAUUUUUUGUCUGGUUUCCAAAGUGAGGUGCUUUAUUGUCUCAUGGCAUGACCCUAUAUAAGGCCAUAACUUUGAAGGCUUCAGCAAUUUAUUGUGAUUUUACCAAUAGAAUUCCAGAUUUUGGUUUUCUUCUUAAACUUUGUAUCUCUUUGAGUUAAUUCCUGGAAUUAGUGAUUUGAGUGGUGAGUGUUCUCAACUCUAUAUCCCUUAUUGUUUUCCUUA